GGGCGUAAGAGCUCGUAGGCGGUUUGUCGCGUCUGCCGUGAAAGUCCGGGGCUCAACUCCGGAUCUGCGGUGGGUACGGGCAGACUAGAGUGAUGUAGGGGAGACUGGAAUUCCUGGUGUAGCGGUGAAAUGCGCAGAUAUCAGGAGGAACACCGAUGGCGAAGGCAGGUCUCUGGGCAUUAACUGACGCUGAGGAGCGAAAGCAUGGGGAGCGAACAGGAUUAGAUACCCUGGUAGUCCAUGCCGUAAACGUUGGGCACUAGGUGUGGGGGACAUUCCACGUUUUCCGCGCCGUAGCUAACGCAUUAAGUGCCCCGCCUGGGGAGUACGGCCGCAAGGCUAAAACUCAAAGGAAUUGACGGGGGCCCGCACAAGCGGCGGAGCAUGCGGAUUAAUUCGAUGCAACGCGAAGAACCUUACCAAGGCUUGACAUGAACCGGAAACACCUGGAAACAGGUGCCCCGCUUGCGGUCGGUUUACAGGUGGUGCAUGGUUGUCGUCAGCUCGUGUCGUGAGAUGU
RNAcentral lists this ribosomal RNA (520 nucleotides) under Arthrobacter sp. O2-311. Its description in RNAcentral is "bacterial SSU rRNA". It matches the Rfam family "Bacterial small subunit ribosomal RNA", at positions 556 to 1075 of the family's 1533-position model. Lineage: Bacteria; Bacillati; Actinomycetota; Actinomycetes; Micrococcales; Micrococcaceae. The record is from RNAcentral.